UGGUGGAAGUGCUGGCACCAUACGAUAUGGGAACUUCUGCAGCAGCAUCUCAUGGAACACCACAAAAUCAUUAUACCGCCUAUAGACGGAGCAUUUGAAUCUCUUGCUGGAAACUUCAUAUUCCACAUGUUUCAGAAAAAGGCCCUUCUUCUCAGGUAUAAGCUCCACCUGCACGCUAUCCUUGCUCAAUAGCUCUUGCAGGGUAUGGGGAAGCAGCAGUGGAUUUCCCGGGGGUGCCUGCAUUAGGAAUUGCUCCGAUUCCCGCGGUUCAUUUACUGGAGGCUUUGCAAAAUCUGUACCGACACCCGCGCUGCCUGCGGGCGGGUCGCCGUCCAUCGCGACUACAGUCAUG
This 352-nucleotide long non-coding RNA is filed under the name Gallus gallus (chicken). The record is from RNAcentral. Lineage: Eukaryota; Metazoa; Chordata; Aves; Galliformes; Phasianidae.